This 1255-nucleotide long non-coding RNA is filed under the name Anas platyrhynchos platyrhynchos (common mallard). RNAcentral's name for it is "lncRNA (ENSAPLG00000025781.1)". The record is from RNAcentral. Lineage: Eukaryota; Metazoa; Chordata; Aves; Anseriformes; Anatidae.
GGGGAGCAUGGAUUUUGUUUGUUUUUUGUUUUGUUGCUUUUUUAAAAACGUUAAGUAAUGUGCCUUAGGAAGUAUCUGAAACUGAGCAUUUGAGGAUUUUUAUUUGAGCAUUUGAUUUCUCAAAAAGCUUUACAGCAUACCACUACUCUAUUCCUAGCAAACACUGUGCAACUGUUGCUAUCAGUAAACUAUCAAGUUAUUUAAGUAACCUUUUUAAUCCAGUCAUUAGCUUUGAUGAACUCGCAUCUUUCUUCAUACAGAAAGUCUGUAAAGGAAGGAGACAAAAUUAUACUUGUCUGUUGAAGUCUGUCUUUGAAUGCUCUUUGCAUAGAUACCAUCCAAGUGCUUCUGUUUGUGUAGUUACUUAGAUUACAGUUCUAUCUUUAUGUUCCUUAAAAUUGAAGGCGAUGAAUACAGGAGGGAAUGAAGAGAGAGGACAUUACAGCUCCUGUUUCUGUUAUUUAUUUUAUUUUUUUUUCAGCUUUUGAAGGAUUACAGAAGCAGUAAAUAUUUCAUUUUGAAAUGUUUUCUCUCUUCUAGCUCUGGGGAAGACUUCCUCAGAUAGCUUUUACUUUCUUUCCAGUCCAUGGGAUCUAAGACUUCUGUGAUGAUCAGGCUAUACAAACAGAACCUUUGGACUGGCAAAUUGCACCCAUCAUUGUUGGGGUGCAUCUGGAGACUGAAGCAGAAACAGGCAAGAACACUGAGUGAAAAUAAGCACUCCAGAAAAGAUAAUGGGAACUUGAACUGUAUUUUGAGAGCUGUUCACAGUGCAAAAUCAGAAAUAAGAAUGUUAUUUCUUUUUGCCUUUCAGGAUCCUGGAUCUGGAGGUGGGGCAAUGAAAUGUGGAAAACAACUCAGAACGUUGACUUUGAACUCAAGAACUGCUGCUUGAUGGAGAAGGUCAACUUAGAGCAGCAGCAUUCAACCUUCUUCAGUUUAAAGACAGGUAAGAGCCUCUGACUCCUCUUCUGCGAGAACAUGUGCUCCUGUGCCUCUCAGCAGCUCCAGCAAUCAAAGUGCUUUGGUAGUUGCCAAUAUAUAUGUAAUUGAAGAGGCAGCUAGUAGGUCAUCCCAGCACCUUCAGACCUCCGAAAAUACCUAAGUAGGUGGGGAUCUCUCUUAUUUAUAAUAACUAUUUCAAUUCAGUUUUAGCUGCCUUUGUUCCUUGUUAAGUUAAUCCUGAGCUUUACUAUUGUUAUUUUUAUUUUAUUGUCUUUUCUAUUAUUAUUAUUUUCUGGACAAGAUAGUUUUC